Long non-coding RNA from Etheostoma cragini (Arkansas darter), 355 nucleotides. RefSeq lists it as uncharacterized. The record is from RefSeq and is a predicted model, not a curated record. Lineage: Eukaryota; Metazoa; Chordata; Actinopteri; Perciformes; Percidae. The transcript has 3 exons.
UCUCAUCUCUUAAUCUAAAAUGGCAAACCAUUCAGAACAUCUACUGCACCCAACGCUCACCUAACGGAGUUCAUUACCUAGCGUCUGCCCCAAUCCCAAAGCCAAGCGGAGGUGACUCAAGCCCAAGUGGGAUUUCAUUUUCUGGAUGGCUGUUGCCACGGUUACUGGCUGGUCCAAAACACUAAGUCGUCCUUGGCCAUAACCUGGGAGAGGGGGCUGCAGGGAGUGAAAGAUGGACAGAUGCUAAAGGACUGGCUGGGAGCAUUGUGUCGUAACAGAGUCUGGACACUGGGGGUCAGCGCUGAGUCACUGCAGGUUACGCUCGCAUGGAUCCCACUGCUGUCUGGUCUGUCAU